Molecule: long non-coding RNA, 774 nt
Organism: Homo sapiens (human)
Lineage: Eukaryota; Metazoa; Chordata; Mammalia; Primates; Hominidae
Gene: GALNT7-DT
Product: GALNT7 divergent transcript
Source: Ensembl
AGCUCACUUGGAAAGCCAGUAUUCCUCCUGAGCUAAUGAAAAGAAAGGCUGUCGUCUUAUGCCAAAAGCAAUACCAACCUUGUUCACGGGCUGAGAUCUAGAGUGUGUAAUUCACGAAGUAUGAAUCUGCUGGGUAAUGUGAUAUGAAAAGCGAAUGCACCAUUUCUUGGUGAUGAUUCAGGUCAGCGUUGGGACCCAGGAAUCUCCUGUUAAUCAGUACCCUGGUGAUUUUGAUCCAGAGACGGGGUCUAUUAUCUGGUCCUGUUGUCAAGGCUGGUCUCAAACUCCUGGCCUCCAGCGAUCCUCCCUUUUUGGCCUCCCAAGAUGCUGGUAUUACAGGCAUGAGCCACCAUGGUCCACCCGGACUCCUUUUCAUAGGAGACAGUUCCCUAGGCAGAGACUGGGCUUGAAACAGGGGAGACAGUUUUUUAUUCUUAAGAAGUUCCUCUAAAGAAGAGGGUAGAGACUAGAACUGAAUGAGAUGGACAUAGAGAUGGCCAAGAAAAGCAUCGUCCUCUGCCAAGUCAUGGGGUCAUGUGUGGUGGAUGGUGACAUGGUGUCCUCAGCUCAGAGUCCAGCUGGGGGCUCAGAAGCAAGGUAACUGAAGGGAGAGAAUUAUUUGAGCACCUAGUGUGUGUAAGAUGCUUCACAUUUAUUAUUUCACCUAACCUCUACACAACCUGUUGUGGGUAUUACUGGUCUCAAGCUGGGAUUCAAAGCAGGUUUUUCCAACCUCAGAAUUCUUGCCAGACUGAUUAGCCUUCUGCAUCUGGA